CUGCAGGGUAGGUGAGUCGACAUAUAACUCCAGUGAAUCGGUAGGCUGAAACAGGGUCUUGCAGGCAGGCGUGGGACACCCCAAACGCAGAUAGAAACAGCAGCAAUGCCUCACGUGACCCAGCCACAGGGAAGGUUUUGACAGGGUUUGCUGUUGGUACACAACAUGGCACCAUCAUAGCAGAGCCACUUCCAUCUAACCUUUCUGCACAAGCGGCCGAGCUCAAACCUCUGACUGAAGCAUGGAAAUAUACAGGCGCGUAUCUAUGAGCUGACCACCAGGACAAAGUUUUGAAUCAACCAGACAAAUUUUAAAGUAUACAUAUCCAUAACUCCUCAACACCAACUGUAAAUUGCCUCUGAGGAGUGAUGAGGUUUGAGUUCUUGUUCAUGUUCUGCAGUUGCAAUAAACAUUUUAAACCUGAGUUGUCUGACUGAACUGUAACUGUAACUGUGGUGAUCCACUGGUACACUGCAAAAAAGCCAACUUGUAUUUUUUGGCCUAAAACAGUUAUUUAAAUUGGUGAAACUACAAUACAAUAAUGCAAGUUAGCACUACAAAUGAAGCCAGUUGUAUGCUCAAAAACAAGUUUGUGAGUUGUUGUUACUUACAUCUUUAAGUUGGGGUUCAAAACAGGGGACAAUCGUUCUGCUAACUCUUAUUUCUUUGUUGUGAAAUGCGGGAAAGCGGUGAAAUUCGGUCAUUAGCGAAAGCUACCGGCAAACUGAUGCUAGCGGCUAACUGAUGCUAGCGGCGCUGCUUGUUACAGCUACAAGAGUAGCCAUUAGCAUAUCAAUGCUAACUCAAAAUUGUGGUCGCAACAUUAGCUGACAUUUCAUAGCGGCGUUACAAUCGUGCCAAUUCAGCACAUUGCAGAAGUAAGGAUUAAGUUGAGCAAGCUCAAAAACUAAACUUAAAAUAUUUAGUUUAAUUGUCCAACUUAAAAUUUUAUCGAAGUUUGUUGCCUUGAAAUUUUGAGUUCACCCAACUUUUCUUUUUUUGCAGUGUAGGCUCUAAACCUCAUGGUAAACUUUGACACAAUCAUUCUGACUUUGAUUUGAUUAUCAGUGUCAGUGAUCCCUUUAUUAUAGAGAUAAUAAUGAGAUAAUAAUAUAAUAUGGAGAUAAAAUGAGGUAAGAGAUAAUAUUACAACAGCCAAGGUGAUAUUAUAUGGACUCCUUGUUGUAAAGACGGUCUAUUCUCUCUUGUUUACUGGCAUCUAUUAUAAACAUGGCAUCAUAAAAUGUUUCCGUAAGAAGUUGUAAAACAAUUGAAACACCUCUGAAGCGUUGAACAUGUUGUCCUUGGCGGACUCGUCGUGAUGUCGUCUAUCUUAAAUGAGUCAUGUGAGAUAAACAUUGAACUGGCUUUACAGCACGGAGAGCAUUUCCACAUCUUUCUCACAUCUAAUGAAAUGCUGCACAUGUGAGCAUGUGUUUUUUAUUGUCCCUUAAGGCCGGAAGAGGGGCAAUGACCUGCAGCUGACCAUGAUCCUUGCUGUCACAUGUACUAUCUAGAGCUUUGGGUUUUACAAUGCUGUAAAAUACACCUGAAGCAGGAUGACGAUAACAUCUUCAGGCAGCCAGACAUCAAUGUUGGAGAUCUGACUUGUCUCCAUGUGAAAAUAAUCGUAUUUAAACAGUUAGUAGCAAUAAUGCAAAAUAAGGGGUCCAGUUUUUAACCCGUGUAUCAUUCGUUCUUUCCAUUUUCAAUUGGCAAUCAAAAAUCAAAUAAUGAAAAAUGUACUUGUUAUUUGUUUUUUAUUAUAACACAAUAAAUGAAAAAAAUGCUUGUUUUUUCAUAUUUCAAUAUUAGGUCAGAUCAAAAAUACGAAAUGGAAAAACGGGCACCAGGACUGAAUUUGAUUUUAAUAUUUAAUUGGUCAGGUAUAUGUGACCCGUAAGUUUGUAAUGUAAUAUUUUACUAUACAGUAUAUAUACAAAGGUGUUUUAUUUAUUUUUUUAAAUCCACAGUGAACAGUUCUGUAAAUAUCAUGCAUUAAUCUUCUUUCCAUAUUUAUCUGGUAUUUGGGCUUGGUUGUCUAACACUUUAUUCUGAAAACUGAAAACCGCACGUCGACACAACAAAUACAUUUUCGGCGCGACACAAUUUAAUUAUUUUAUGUAGUUAAUACUUCAUCUCCUCUCUGUGGCUAAGAGUUUUAUACUGAAAAAAGUGAAAAAGAAUGACAGUAAAGCAUUUAUACUUCAUGUCAGCUCUCUUGGAGCAGUUUCAAUGAAUUUACCAUAAAUAUCACAAUACGGGUGCACUACAUUAUAUAGGGGAAGGCUGGUUUGACUAUGGAAAAGCGAAUGACGGCUCACUUGACCGCAGUCAAACUUCUAGGUCACGUAUAUAAAUGGUAAAUAACCAGUCAAUUUUUCAUUAUUUGAUUUUUGAUUGCCAAUUGAAAAAGGAAAGAAUGAAUUAUA
This is a long non-coding RNA of Centropristis striata (black sea bass), 2432 nucleotides long. RefSeq lists it as uncharacterized. The record is from RefSeq and is a predicted model, not a curated record. The transcript has 3 exons. NCBI's taxonomy places the organism in Eukaryota, Metazoa, Chordata, Actinopteri, Perciformes, Serranidae.